RNAcentral lists this long non-coding RNA (555 nucleotides) under Capsella grandiflora. RNAcentral's name for it is "long non-coding RNA (CGRA_LNC000587)". The record is from RNAcentral. Lineage: Eukaryota; Viridiplantae; Streptophyta; Magnoliopsida; Brassicales; Brassicaceae.
UACUGAAUGAAAGAACUGGGAAUGUGGAAAUGACAAAUCGUGAGACAGUGGUCAAAGAAGAAAGAAAUAUGCUUUUGGAGUCGGGCACCUCUCCUUCCGAUAGGAGCUAGCAACAGUAUACAAGUUUUUGUGUUUUCUUGAUACAGAAGAAACAAACAUCUCUGUAACUCAUUAAUUCAUGACAACAUUGUUGUUGUUACGCCCUAGCUCCUCUACCAAACAUCGUACAUGUAUGAUAUUAAUCACAAGACUCGAUAAGCUAUUCUGCUAUUGUUGAGCUUUCUUGUGAUGAUAACAAUUCAAAACAAAAUUUAUAGAAUGAUUGAUGAUUUAGAAUUUACUAUACUACCUCGAGUAUAUCAAGAGAUGUUCCAGUGAUGUUGGUGGCAGUGGCACAACCAAAGGCUUAGGCUAGAGACAAAGAAAAUGAAGAUUUCUGAACAUCCAUUUCAACAUCUGCAUGUUGUUUGUCAAUUUCACACCAUGUCUUUAUAUAAGUAAUUAAGUACACAUGUAUAACACAUAAUGAAUACAUGCAUGAGUCAAAUUAAUUAA